AGUGAACGCUGGCGGCAGGCCUAACACAUGCAAGUCGAACGGCAGCACAGCAGUAGCAAUACUGUGGGUGGCGAGUGGCGGACGGGUGAGGAAUACAUCGGAAUCUGCCUAGUCGUGGGGGAUAACGUAGGGAAACUUACGCUAAUACCGCAUACGACCUACGGGUGAAAGCGGGGGAUCGCAAGACCUCGCGCGAUUAGAUGAGCCGAUGUCCGAUUAGCUAGUUGGCGGGGUAAUGGCCCACCAAGGCGACGAUCGGUAGCUGGUCUGAGAGGAUGAUCAGCCACACUGGAACUGAGACACGGUCCAGACUCCUACGGGAGGCAGCAGUGGGGAAUAUUGGACAAUGGGCGCAAGCCUGAUCCAGCCAUGCCGCGUGGGUGAAGAAGGCCUCGGUUGUAAGCCUUU
RNAcentral lists this ribosomal RNA (408 nucleotides) under uncultured bacterium. RNAcentral's name for it is "bacterial SSU rRNA". It matches the Rfam family "Bacterial small subunit ribosomal RNA", at positions 29 to 435 of the family's 1533-position model. The record is from RNAcentral.